UCAAUUUUAUUAAAAUUAGGAAAAAAACACAACAAUAAUUGGACUAAAUUAUCAAUAAAUGCCGAAAAUUUUCAAAUUUACCAGUCUUUUAUAGAAAAUUUACAGGAAUAGGUGGAUUUUAUGAAUAUUUUACCAUUUCCCAGUUCAAUCUGGAUAUGACAACCAUUAGUUUUCCUCUUAAGAAUUACUUCAUAUCUAUCUCUAGUUUCUCAAGCAUUAGUUGUUGUUUGCUCUACCUUCCCUAAAUGCUUCCUUCUCCUCCAAUCGUCGAGAUGCAAUGGGGUUAGAUCGUCUGCUUGUGGAAGCUUUCUCACACUUUUGUUGGAGAUUCUCUUCUCCUCUCCCUACCGAGGCUCGCUCUUUUAGUUUCCAACCAAGCCUAUGAUGUGUUGUUUUCUUUAAGUAUCAUCUUCCACCUUGUGAGCCACCGGAUGGGAUGUGAUAGAGCUGCAAUGUCAAUGAACUAGAUCUCAAGGUUUGAUGGUUGGAGCCAUGAUGGAUUAUUUGGUCCCGACUUUUGUCAUCUUCCAUCUGAUCGACUUCAUGGUGGUUUCAGUACUUGCUUUUUUUUAUAUGUUGGAGCAAAAACACCAUAGAAGGGUUUUCUUAAGCUGGUUUUUCAUAUUUUUACUGCAAAUCGAGAACCCGAAGCAAGUUGAGGAAAAGAAAAAAGUAGUUGAUUAGUCCCUGAAUUUUCACAAAUUUUACAAAUCGACCCAGAUUGACGUGGAAGUAUACGGAGGAUCGGAUCAACACAGAGGAUCACACUAUCCAGAUUAUCUCUGGUAGCUUUUGUAAAUUUCCUUUUUGAUUUAUAUGGCAUGUAUAAGGCUUGGUGAUUAUAUAAAUAUUAAGACUUGUUUAGUGAAUAUAUAUUAAAGUAAAGAAUGAUGACUAAGUUAAAUAGUAUAAUUAUAAUAGAAGUAUAAUUUUGUAUUAAAUUGAUUGAAAUGAAUUGGUUGGUUGGAUUGGUCUCGGUUUUAAAAA
Molecule: long non-coding RNA, 987 nt
Organism: Gossypium arboreum
Lineage: Eukaryota; Viridiplantae; Streptophyta; Magnoliopsida; Malvales; Malvaceae
Exons: 5
Source: RefSeq, a predicted model, not a curated record